AUGGAGGCAGCAGUAAGGAAUAUUGCGCAAUGGGCGAAAGCCUGACGCAGCGACGCCGCGUGGGUGAUGAAGGCCUUCGGGUCGUAAAGCCCUGUCGGGGGGGACGAAACCUCCCGGUGCUAAUAUCACCGGGACCUGACGGUACCCCCUAAGGAAGCACCGGCUAACUCCGUGCCAGCAGCCGCGGUAAUACGGAGGGUGCGAGCGUUGUUCGGAAUCACUGGGCGUAAAGCGCGUGUAGGCGGCCUUUUAAGUCUGAUGUGAAAGCCCGGGGCUUACCCCCGGAAGGGCAUUGGAAACUGGGAGGCUCGAGUACCGGAGAGGAAGGUGGAAUUCCUGGUGUAGCGGUGAAAUGCGUAGAUAUCAGGAGGAACACCGGUGGCGAAGGCGGCCUUCUGGACGGAUACUGACGCUGAGACGCGAAAGCGUGGGGAGCAAACAGGAUUAGAAACCCGAGUAGUCCU
RNAcentral lists this ribosomal RNA (464 nucleotides) under uncultured bacterium. RNAcentral's name for it is "bacterial SSU rRNA". It matches the Rfam family "Bacterial small subunit ribosomal RNA", at positions 342 to 797 of the family's 1533-position model. The record is from RNAcentral.